This 309-nucleotide non-coding RNA is filed under the name Cryptosporidium parvum. Lineage: Eukaryota; Apicomplexa; Conoidasida; Eucoccidiorida; Cryptosporidiidae. The record is from RNAcentral.
UUCUUAGUAAGAUUUCCUCUACACCUUGGACAUUUUUGUUUUCUUUGAACAAGAUUUCCUGCACAAUUAAGGCAGAAGUGAUGCCCACAACGUGUAAUAACAACAGGAGUGCGAAUAUUGGGGAGAAACUGAUUAAUUGUUAAUGUUCUUGACAUAAUGUUAUCCCAAUCUUCUAAACAAAUAGGGCAUGUGAACUUUGCAGCUUUCUCUUUUUCUUCUUGAGUUAAUUCGACAGGUUUUUCUAUUACUUGAUUCUUAUUUUGAUGAUUAUUCAUAUUACAAGGAUUCAUUGUGCUAUUUAAAAAAUUA